UACGUAGGUGGCGAGCGUUGUCCGGAUUUACUGGGCGUAAAGGGAGCGUAGGCGGACUUUUAAGUGAGAUGUGAAAUACUCGGGCUCAACUUGAGUGCUGCAUUUCAAACUGGAAGUCUAGAGUGCAGGAGAGGAGAAUGGAAUUCCUAGUGUAGCGGUGAAAUGCGUAGAGAUUAGGAAGAACCCCAGUGGCGAAGGCGAUUCUCUGGACUGUAACUGACGCUGAGGCUCGAAAGCGUGGGGAGCAAACAGG
RNAcentral lists this ribosomal RNA (253 nucleotides) under uncultured bacterium. Its description in RNAcentral is "partial 16S ribosomal RNA". It matches the Rfam family "Bacterial small subunit ribosomal RNA", at positions 524 to 776 of the family's 1533-position model. The record is from RNAcentral.